GGACGAACGCUGGCGGCGUGCUUAACACAUGCAAGUGGAGCGACGAACCAGGGCUUGCCCUGGGGCAGAGCCGCGAACGGGUGAGUAACACGUGGGUAACGUGCCCCGAGUGAUCGGGACAACCCGGGGAAACCCGGGCGGUAAUACCGGAAUGGUGCUCCCCUCACACCAGUGAGGGAGUAGGAAAGGAAGCUUCGGCCUCCGCAUCGGGAUCGGCCGCGGCCCAUCAGCUUGUUGGUGAGGUAACGGCNCACAAGGCUG
This 261-nucleotide ribosomal RNA is filed under the name uncultured bacterium. Its description in RNAcentral is "partial 16S ribosomal RNA". It matches the Rfam family "Bacterial small subunit ribosomal RNA", at positions 27 to 276 of the family's 1533-position model. The record is from RNAcentral.